Molecule: non-coding RNA, 306 nt
Organism: Vicia faba (fava bean)
Lineage: Eukaryota; Viridiplantae; Streptophyta; Magnoliopsida; Fabales; Fabaceae
Source: the annotation of a GenBank genome assembly
CAAAUUGAACACUCCUUACGAUUCCAUUUAUUGAAUAUUAAUAUCACUUUAUCAUUGUUAAUCAACUAUGAGUGUAACAAUGGAAUAUCAUAUGCGCCUAAAAAGUACAAUCCUACACAGUACAAACAAUUUUGUUGGAUGACAGUCAAAAUGGAAAAAAAGAAAGGCAAAAUAAUGGUUCGUAUCUUUCCAUUAAUAAAUCUCAAAAUAAACAUGGAAGAUAACCUAGAGACUAUGUCUACUCUCCUAUUUAAAAGGAAUGAAGAUUCAUCUAUAUUCGAUAAUGUGAUAUCGAAGAAAAAUUGA